Long non-coding RNA from Apis laboriosa (Himalayan honeybee), 1198 nucleotides. RefSeq lists it as uncharacterized. The transcript is spliced from 3 exons. Lineage: Eukaryota; Metazoa; Arthropoda; Insecta; Hymenoptera; Apidae. The record is from RefSeq and is a predicted model, not a curated record.
UCGAGAGACGACAGUCGCAGGGACUCGGCAGUCCUGUGGCAGGGUUGCAACGGGGCCAGAAUCCUGCAGGAGAGCCCAAUGAUUCUCGCCGAUGCACGUCCGGUGUACGAAGUCCACAACCUCGGGAACUGAAGCAAGUCUGAAAGAAAAAACGUGAGCGAUUAAAAAAUGUAGUUUUAUCGUCUAUAAAUAGUAUAAUAGCCUCGUGACUCGAGGAGAAGGUCACGUGUCUAUUAUAUAACGGAAUUAACAAAUAAUAUUUGUAUCUUGUUGAAUUUGUGCUAAUAUUUACACAAUUUGUUAGAUUUGAGUGUAAUAUAUUUUGUUAUUUAAUUUAUAUAGGAAUGUAAAACUUGGAAAAUAAAGGUACAUGGGUGCAAAUACUUUUUGUAGUCAAUAUAAUUUUAAAAGUUAUGGAUGAAAAAGUAUAAAAAAGGAAAAUGAAGAUGAAUAAUAAUUGUGUUUUACGUAAGAUCAUGAUAUUAAAAAUUUCAAAGAAUUUUAAGUUGAAAUGAAACGAUGAAAAAUAUUUGCAUUUCGAUUGCGAUACUCGAGAUCGAUAGAUUCUUCCUUAAAGAAAGACGGUAAUUGUACAACAGAGAAUAUUAUUGGAAUCGACACUACGUAUCAAUCAAGGCAAUAAACAUUAUAAACCGGUAGUAUCAUAAUAAAACGAGACGAAACCGGUAAUUAGUCAUCCAAGUUGACGAAGAGACGGAAUUGCAACGAAUUGCAUUAACUUCAUUCGUUUGACCUUCUCCCACGCACAACGAGUAUUCAUUUCUGUGAAUACUAACAGAAAUAAAACAACGCUUUAGAUGAACAACUAUAUUACGAUAUCAACGAUGUAAAAGAAAAAAACAACAUGAUUAUGAUCCGAUAUUAAAUGCUCCGAUUAUAUUCAUUGAUCACGAGAAAUAAAAAAUUAUUAGACAUUAAUAGAAUAUACUUUUAUUAUUCAUCAUCAUUUAAUUACAUCAAGAUACUCUUGAAAUGUAAAUUCCAUCAAAUAUAACGAAAUAUAUUUAAUGAAGCACAAUAAUCGAAAAUAUUUAAACACCAAACAUAUAAAAAUUUAAAACAAUUGUAACAUAAAGAUGUAACAUAUAUACAAUAAUAAAUGUGAAAGCGAUAUAGAAAUCGAUAUGCAAUUUGCAGUGAACAGAUUUCUCUCGUCUGUCGCAUAAUAAUAAUUAUU